RNAcentral lists this transfer RNA (121 nucleotides) under Candidatus Burarchaeum sp. RNAcentral describes it as "tRNA-Met". It matches the Rfam family "tRNA". Rfam says of the family: Transfer RNA (tRNA) molecules are approximately 80 nucleotides in length. Lineage: Archaea; Nanobdellati; Microcaldota; Candidatus Micrarchaeia; Candidatus Burarchaeales; Candidatus Burarchaeaceae. The record is from RNAcentral.
GCCUAGGUAACUCAGCUUGGUAUAAGAGUGCCAGACUCAUAAUCUGGAAGCCGCGAGUUCAAAAGCCGUGACGGCAAGCCGUCAAGAUUUGCCAGCAAGGCUGUCAAUCUCGCCCUAGGCA